This 468-nucleotide ribosomal RNA is filed under the name uncultured bacterium. Its description in RNAcentral is "partial 16S ribosomal RNA". It matches the Rfam family "Bacterial small subunit ribosomal RNA", at positions 28 to 507 of the family's 1533-position model. The record is from RNAcentral.
GACGAACGCUGGCGGCGUGCUUAACACAUGCAAGUCGAACGGAAAGGCCCUGCUUUUGUGGGGUGCUCGAGUGGCGAACGGGUGAGUAACACGUGAGUAACCUGCCCUUUACUUUGGGAUAACUUCAGGAAACUGGGGCUAAUACCGGAUAGGAGCUCCUGCUGCAUUGGGGGGGUUGGAAAGUUUCGGCGGUUGGGGAUGGACUCGCGGCUUAUCAGCUUGUUGGUGGGGUAGUGGCUUACCAAGGCUUUGACGGGUAGCCGGCAUGAGAGGGUGACCGGCCACAUUGGGACUGCGAUACGGACCAGACUCCUACGGGAGGCAGCAGUGGGGAAUAUUGCACAAUGGGCGGAAGCCUGAUGCAGCAACGCCGCGUGCGGGAUGACGGCCUUCGGGUUGUAAACCGCUUUCGCCUGUGACGAAGCGUGAGUGACGGUAAUGGGUAAAGAAGCACCGGCUAACUACGUG